AGGCCUUUUUCGGUGAAGUAAUCAUCAAAGCAGCAGUACAUUCCGUUAUCUGCUGUUAUUCUGAUGGGAAGCUCUUUGCAAAACAGUAGAUCCUAGCGAUGGUUACUGUUCCUGCAGUAUCUUACAAAAACUAACAAUAAAGCGGCACUGCUAACGUCAGUCAACUCGACUAGCUGUAUCACAAAAUAUGGGACUGCCUUUAUUACUUCCACAAGUUGGUGACUCUCGGCGCAUAUGCACAGCGUUGGGCAAAAUAAGCUCCUCUGAGGUCGUAAAGGGUUGCUAGCUACGAGGAGCGACCACAUAGCUAGCUGUCAAAGUGGCUUUUGACUGAGUUGUUAAUGUUGGUAAUGUUGUGAUGACUUUCUGUUGUGUCUGAAGCCCGUCCCUUUUCCUUGGGAAAGAUUCUUUCGUUUUCCCAACGCAUCCCGGGUGUUUUGUGCUUAAGUGUCAUGCUGGAGCUUCAAUGGUUUUAGCGCCUCAUUUGACAGGAUUCAUUCAACAUACUCUGCUUUCGGCUCAGCAUCACCGCCUGCCAUUAUGAAUCCAAAUUCCAGAAGGUGGCGGUAAUGCGCUUGAAGCUGUUUCCAAUGCCAUCAAGAGGAAGAGGGAUCGCGUGUAGAUGGGUUACCAUCUGGACACGAACGGGAAGUGGAAGAGGAGGAGGAGGAAGAAGGAGGCAACGAAGCGAACACUCGAAGCCGGUGCUGAGGAGCAAGUUGACCCUCAGUGAACAUAAGAUGUCGUCGACGUUUGUUUUAAAACCUUAUCUGAGUCCAAAGGGAGCGAGCAAGGGGAUAAUAUGACACUAGAGGCCUGAACUCCAACCUGCUCAUAAUGGAGGAUAUCCCGUCCAGAAACACAGACCUUCAUGUUGCAGAGGUCUCAUGCCUUCUCUGAAGAUGAGAUGGUUGACCUUUACAGGGCCAAGAGAAGAAAAAUGGAGAGGACAUAAAGACAUAUAUUUAUGGACCCAGAGAAAAGAGGCUGCCAGGACUGAUCUCCAGGCUGUGAAGAAUGGCCUGAGGAUGAUCCAACAGCCAUUCUGAAGCGGGACUGUGGAAAAACUAUCACAGGGGGAAAAAACUCCUUCACUCUCGCACUGUGAUGGAAAUGAAAGCAGAAUGUUGUUCUAACAGAGCUGCUGUCUGCCUUCUGAUGAUUGUUUAUACUUGAAGAUGUGAAUGUAUCUCAUUCCUUUUUUUGGUAAUAAACUUGUAACUCUGUU
This is a long non-coding RNA of Thunnus maccoyii (southern bluefin tuna), 1228 nucleotides long. RefSeq lists it as uncharacterized. The record is from RefSeq and is a predicted model, not a curated record. Lineage: Eukaryota; Metazoa; Chordata; Actinopteri; Scombriformes; Scombridae. The transcript is spliced from 8 exons.